AAUGCUCAACUAACUGAGCCAUCCAGGCGCCCUAAAAUGGGAGAAAAAAAAAAAAGGAACAAUUUUCAUAAAAUCAAGUAAGCCAUGGUAACUUGAAAAACGUCGGGAAUCACCGGUUUACAAGUUAUGCGUGAACGGAAGAAUAACCAUCACAGCCCCAGCUGGCCGCUUCAUGCCAAUGGCAGCAAAUAAGGUCAACUCGAGAAAGAUCAAUUAAGUGUUUGGAAGUCCUGGUGCAAAGUGGACAGGUGUGCAAAGUGGACGGGUGCAAAGGUUUUCUUCCUGCUGGAUUCUAAGGUGGGAUGUGGGCCUAGUGGAUCGCUUACGGAACGUUCCAUUGCUGUUUAUGAAAGCAGGUUAAGCUGAUGGUUAGAGACGAGGGUGGAAGGAGCGUUUUUCCUCACAUACCUGCUUAAGACAGAACCUUCGCCUCAGUUCAGUCCGCUCCCUCAGUCCCAGGAAGUCGAUGUCUGUUUUGCCAAUCUCAGGUUGAUCAUCGACCUUCACCGAGUCACCCGUUUCCAUGCUGGAAGGUCCUGGAAGUCCUGACCAAGCCUGGUGGCCCGGACCGGACGGAUGUCCGUGGCUGCACUGGCGGGGAGCACUCGUGAGUGGGCUCAUUGCGGUGUCGCUGGUCGGGAGCCCCUGCUCCGGGGUUAUUGCAUCUCGUUUUGAGGUUAUUUCCAGAAGUUUCAAUUUCAUGCCUGAGUUUAUAGCAGAGGCUGUUAGGUGCGUGGAAGAUAAAAACAGACGCCAUCCGUUGAUGGCAAGACUGAGUGACUUUGGCUCCUUUGUUGUAACGUCCAGCAGGGCCAGCAUGGAACCAAGGAGCAGGCUCGUCACUUUACAAGGGUGUGGUCAGCGACGUCCCCGGGUAGUGAGGGCUUUUGUCCCAGGGCACAUUGAUUUCUCACCAGUGGACAAGGGCAUUUCAGGAUGAGAAAGAAGAGACUUUUCCUUUCUAUUUAUUUAUUUAUUUUUAAAAGUUUAUUUAUUUUGAGAGAGAGCGUGUGAUCACGUGGAUGGGGCAGGGGGCAGAGGGAGGGAGAGAGAGAGACUCCCACGCGGGCUCUGUACCGCCGCCACAGAGCCCGACGUGGGGCUCGAACUCACGAACUGUGAGAUCAUGACCUGAGCCGAAGUCAAGAGUCAGUUGCUUCACCGACGAAGCCACCCAGACGCCCCUAUAUGCGGCAAUUUUGUAUUUGCAGAGCAUGGCGAUGCUUACCGUUUUGUUUUGUUUUGUUUUGGCCUUUAGAGUUGUGCUUAGCAAACCAAAAGGCCAGGGAAACCUCCCUGAGGCUCUGAAGGGUUUGACACCGAGUGUGUGUGAGUGUGGCUGUGAACACGUAUGUGAGAGUGUGCGUGUGUGGUGUGUGUGUGUGCGUGUGUGGGUGGGGGUGUGUGUGAGUGUGUAGAUCCAGGGUGCGUCUCUGAGGUAGUUUCCGCCCGCCCCAGGGGCUCAAGGAAGGGGUGUGUGUGCUGUUGGCCAAAAUACCAACGCUUUCCCAUUUGGACAGAGGCGCAGGGGAGGUUGCACGGGUCCCGGGACAGAACCUGCACAGAGGUGGGCCAGAGCCCGUCCUGCGCACGUGAACUGCCUGGGGAGUUGCUUACAGAGAAAUCUUCUGUUUUUCUCCUUCACCUGUUAAUUUUGAGUGACUUCAGGGUUAUUCUAUUUGUUACAUUUAAAUAUUAUUGUAAUGAGAAAUAUUGUUUUUAAACCCUUUGCAAUACAGAUUUGCCUCAACUUAAAAGAAGUUCAUUGUGGAAAGAUUCAGAAUAACAGCACAGUGGAAUAAAUGUUCAACUUUUAACAUAAGAUUUAUUGCAGA
This is a long non-coding RNA of Lynx canadensis (Canada lynx), 1835 nucleotides long. RefSeq lists it as uncharacterized. NCBI's taxonomy places the organism in Eukaryota, Metazoa, Chordata, Mammalia, Carnivora, Felidae. The transcript is spliced from 4 exons. The record is from RefSeq and is a predicted model, not a curated record.